AGAAGAUCUGUCCAACCAACAAUAUGCAUUGGAGGUAACAAAGUAUAUCAGCACCCAAGCUCUAUCGCAGGCUGGAGUGACGAUAUGAAGAAGUGGCCGCAGGCAAAGGCAAAGUAUGCAGCCAUGUUGGGGCCCUGUUGUGGA
Molecule: long non-coding RNA, 144 nt
Organism: Ornithodoros turicata
Lineage: Eukaryota; Metazoa; Arthropoda; Arachnida; Ixodida; Argasidae
Exons: 3
Source: RefSeq, a predicted model, not a curated record